This 402-nucleotide ribosomal RNA is filed under the name uncultured bacterium. Its description in RNAcentral is "bacterial SSU rRNA". It matches the Rfam family "Bacterial small subunit ribosomal RNA", at positions 355 to 774 of the family's 1533-position model. The record is from RNAcentral.
UGGGGAAUAUUGGACAAUGGGCGAAAGCCUGAUCCAGCAAUGCCGCGUGAGUGAUGAAGGCCCUAGGGUUGUAAAGCUCUUUUACCCGGGAUGAUAAUGACAGUACCGGGAGAAUAAGCUCCGACUAACUUCGUGCCAGCAGCCGCGGUAAUACGAGGGGAGCUAGCGUUGUUCGGAAUUACUGGGCGUAAAGCGCGCGUAGGCGGUUUUUUAAGUCAGAGGUGAAAGCCCGGGGCUCAACCCCGGAAUAGCCUUUGAAACUGGAAAACUAGAAUCUUGGAGAGGUCAGGGGAAUUCCGAGUGUAGAGGUGAAAUUCGUAGAUAUUCGGAAGGACACCAGUGGCGAAGGCGACUGACUGGACAAGUAUUGACGCUGAGGUGCGAAAGCGUGGGGAGCAAACA